Molecule: ribosomal RNA, 439 nt
Filed under: uncultured bacterium
Lineage: Bacteria
Description: partial 16S ribosomal RNA
Rfam family: Bacterial small subunit ribosomal RNA
Source: RNAcentral
CUACGGGUUGCUGCAGUGAGGAAUAUUGCACAAUGGGGGAAACCCUGAUGCAGCAACGCCGCGUGGAGGAUGACGCAUUUCGGUGUGUAAACUCCUUUUAUAUGUCAAGAAAAUGACGGUAGCAUAUGAAUAAGCACCGGCUAACUCCGUGCCAGCAGCCGCGGUAAUACGGAGGGUGCAAGCGUUACUCGGAAUCACUGGGCGUAAAGGACGCGUAGGCGGGUUGGAAAGUCAGGUGUGAAAUCCUACAGCUUAACUGUAGAACUGCACUUGAAACUUCUAAUCUAGAGUAUGGGAGGGGGAGAUGGAAUUAGUGGUGUAGGGGUAAAAUCCGUAGAUAUCACUAGGAAUACCUAAAGCGAAGGCGAUCUCCUGGAACAUUACUGACGCUAAGGCGUGAAAGCGUGGGGAGCAAAAAGGAUUAGAUACCCUGGUAGUC